This 229-nucleotide ribosomal RNA is filed under the name uncultured bacterium. RNAcentral describes it as "partial 16S ribosomal RNA". It matches the Rfam family "Bacterial small subunit ribosomal RNA", at positions 104 to 334 of the family's 1533-position model. The record is from RNAcentral.
CGGGGUGAGUAAUGUAUGGGGAUCUGCCUGAUGGCGGGGGAUAACUACUGGAAACGGUAGCUAAUACCGCAUAAUGUCUGCGGACCAAAGCGGGGGACCUCCGGGCCUCGCGCCAUCAGAUGAACCCAUAUGGGAUUAGCUUGUAGGUAAGGUAACGGCUUACCUAGGCGACGAUCCCUAGCUGGUUUGAGAGGAUGAUCAGCCACACUGGGACUGAGACACGGCCCAG